This is a long non-coding RNA of Gallus gallus (chicken), 6544 nucleotides long. RefSeq lists it as uncharacterized. The record is from RefSeq and is a predicted model, not a curated record. Lineage: Eukaryota; Metazoa; Chordata; Aves; Galliformes; Phasianidae. The transcript is spliced from 9 exons.
GACGUAAGAAGACGGCGGGACUGCUAACCGCAGAGUGAGGACUAGAUCCACCAGGUACAACUUUUGAAUAGACAGUAUGACUUACGUGCAGUACUGCUGUGGGAUGCCACAGUGAGAUCCAUAACGGGACAGAAAUCUGUUCUCAAGAUCAAUUAUGGUUUCACCUACUUUUUCAUCACGAGUCAAUGUGUCGUAGUCAUAGACCGAAAUUUUCAGAUCUUUUUCUUGAGUACAGCAGAGUUGCAUCACAGACAUUCCAAAGCCCGCAUGUCUCACCAGCCCAUUGUUAUCCUGGGGUUGAAGCUGCAAAGCUCUAACGAUAUAAAUUCGCACAAUACACUCCUGAGGCCCACUGUCUGGUAGCUCACGGAACUGGCGGGGAGGAGCUGGAGUAGUGGGAUCAUCAGGUGUCCCUUGAAAUAAUGCACUUCUUUGCUUUGUGAAGUAAUGGUUAUGGAAAAAGAGUAAAUCCAAAUCUUUGGGCCUUCUUUUAAGAUUAUCAAAACAAAUAAUGAGUCCUCUGGAUUUGGAUACUAUUGCUGAAGUGGUUCCAAGCCAGGAAUAAAAAACUGCAAGCUGAAAUAUUUUUACCUGUAAGCUUUUAUCAAAGGAUCCAUCUGACUUUGCUGACAGCUCGCUCAUUUAUCCAGUCCCACUUUAAGUGUGAUAAUGCAAAUGGCUGAACUGGGACAACUCAGGUAUUGACAGACUCUGAUAGAGCAAGACUGAACCUGGUGGAACUGGGGAAGGAUGGAGACCUCAUGAACUGGACCUGUCAAGGAUCAACCAUCCAUUCUCCUUCCCACUCCCAGCCUUUUGGGGGUAGAAAAUACUCUCUCUUCAGUUUGAUUUUUCCUGUGACAUCAGAAAACUUGUGGCGACCAACAAGUCCUGAGGUACCCCACUUUCCAAAAAGAAGAGCCUGAUUUUCAUACUGUUUGAGAAGAAAGAAUAAAACAGUACUUUAGGAACAAAGAAAUGAUUUCAGGAGGGAAAAAAAAAUAAAAAGGUUUAUUUAAUAGUUAUAAUUGAAGCAUUCUACUACUAUUUUAAAACUACUAAAAACUACUAUUUUAAACUAAAUAUCUCCUUCCCAUGUUGCCUUACACUACCAUCAUUAAUUUCUCUUUCUCCUGUGCUGUCUUGUAAAUGUAAACAAUGAUUCUGCUGCUAAAUGACACUAUAUUCUACAAUCAAAUUCCCACCAAGUUAAAGGUUUGUUAAAUAAAAUACCUUUACAUUAUUUGAACAAGAGUUUCUUCCAUUACCUAAAUGCACAAUUCUCACAUUCUUUUCCAUUUCAAAUCUCCUAUUUAUUCUCUCUUAUUUUGUAACAUGUAAAACUGAAAAUAAUUAGUCUUAUGGAAGCUAAUGGGGAAACAAUUCUGAUGUCAGCACAGCUUAUACACUCUAUUUCCCUUUCUGCUAAUGGGAUUAUCCUACUUUAUGAUGUUCUGUUCUUAUUGUAUAAAAUUGUUGGAUUGCUGUAUGAAGAGCAAUAGAUAUUCCAUAUCCUCAUAAACCCCUGCACUAAACAAAUAAUGGCUUUGAAAAAUCCACUGACUAUUUUAAGGCACUUAAUAUAGCACUACAUUUAGUAUUUUAGGCAUAGGUGCAAUGAUGACACAAGCCUCUGUAAAAAUGCCGUUUCCUCAACUGUUAUAGUGGAUUACAUGCAGCAUAAGGCAUGCAAAUUAGGCAAAGAUGCUUACAGCUUAUCAUUAUCACAGAGAAUCUCUUAUAUAUGCUGUGGGACUACUAGAAGUAUUUUUCUUUCAAUUUUUUUUUCCUUUUACCAUUCACAUGUUACAAUAUAGUCCUUUGUCAGUGAAAUCUACUGGUUUUGGCCAGUUUUUCCUGUAGCAGUUAAUUUUUGGCAAUUUUUCCGCUCCUACAAAAGAACUAUUAUGAGGCAAAACCGCUUGUAUCCAUGCAUCAUUUUAAAAGAACUGAAGAAUCAAUUAGAAUAUAUAAUAGUAUGCCAAAACAUUAUGUUCUAGAACUCAAUCUUAAUUACAAUGAUAAAUAUCUAAAACAAGUGUCUUUAAAUCACUGGAAUUAUCCAGAUUUUCACCUGAUUAACCAGUUCAGAUUCUGUUCUGCUGAAGUUCAUCUGGUAGGCACAAUGGACUUGAUUAUUAAUUGCCUUUAAUGUGGUCUACUUGUUUCAGCACUUUUUUCAGUGUAAUAAACACUACUCUCCCUUUCUGCCAGGCAUGCAAAACAAUUUCAGAGGAGCUCAAAUUGCAUAGAAUUCCUAAGGUGCAUAUCCAAGUUUAAUGCAAGAAAGCGAUGAUGGACAUACCAUUUCUGCAAAAACACUGAACGUUCCCUCGGCAAAGCUAUUGAACUUCUUUUCAACUGCACUGAGCCCAAGCCAAAUGUUAACUCGCAACUCCACAGGCAUUUUGACGUCUUUCGUCUUGUCCUGUGGGUACUGACACACACACACACACGCACACACACACACGCACACAAACAAGGUUAUUCUUUGUUGUGUUAUACAGGUGUUUUAACUUUGAGUACAAUCUAAACAAUAACACAGUUAAAUGAGAAAUAAUAAAUGAUUUAUCUCUUCUAGCAUGGCAUUUCCUCAGAAGGAGCUAAUAAACUAGUUCAGGAAGGAGACAUUCUUUAAAUGGUACCUGCCCUGGGCAUGUAAAAAACAAACAAAGAAAACAUUUGUAUAAUCCCUGUUCCUGUAUAUCCUCUUUCAAGUUUAAUCCAGUAAUGGGUUCUUAAUUAUGACAAUAACUUAAAGUUCACGUGGACGUUAGUGUUUCUUGUCAGGAGAGUCAUGCACAUGUAAGGAAGCAUCACAGUUUAGGGAUCUAAAGUUUAAGGAUUUUGAGAAAAAAAAAAUACCUUUAAGAAGAUUGUUUGUGUCUUUCCACAGUAUUUACCAGAUGAUUCGGGGCUUGUGGUGGAAUACAGCACUUGGUGUGCAGGAACACGAGCAUAAGCCAGUCUUUUCUCCCCUCGGAUCAUCCAUAUGAUUACAUCAGGCAUACUGUUUUGUGGCUGCGGAUUAUUUGCAGGCUUUGUCCAUACUUCUGUACGCUGGCUGCAAGUCUUCCAAAUUAAGUGAUGUUUUUUAAAAAUUUUCAAAGUAGAAGUGACAAAGAGAAAACAGACACUUCUACAAUGUCAUGAAAACCAAUUGUGAAAGAGCAUAACUCAGAUGAAAACUCAAGACACUGUUGAAUGUUCUGAAAAACUCUGUAAGAAGUUAAUUACUACAGCUUAUGACCUGAAGAAGUACUACAUACACCCUGCAGUCCCUGAACCUGCAGAGUGACUUGCAGAUCUGGAAGAAAAUAAAGGAAAAAACACAGCCACUUUGAAGAGGUAAAAAGCCUGCUGUAAUUCUACAAGGUUAUACUCCAACAUACAUUCUCAGUGAAAUUGAAUAACAAGUUAGAAUAAUAUAUUUAAGUAAAUCCUAAUUGCAGAGAGGCACGUUUACAUUUAUGGCAUCUAAAACUACUCUUCUAACUAGAUCAGAUAUUGCUUGAUCAGCAGUGAACAUUAUACCAGUUUGGGUUAGACAGCUACGUUUAAACUAACUGAAUCACUGACAUUGUGUGGUACUAACCUCUUCACUCAGUUGCAUUAAUUUAUCCAACCAAUCCUCAAUUUCUGUCAAAGUGGUUUUCACAUCGGUAGCUUCAUUCCUCAUCCUUCUUGCUGCUUCUCCAAUCUGUUUGAGAGACCUUAGGCGCAGCUUUUCUAUUUGAGUGUCAAGGACUGUAAUAUUAGAUUUGCCUUCUAUGAGGGGAAAUGGUUUACUGAAAAGUAGAAUUAUUAUCAUGGUUAACAACCUAAGUGAAUUUUAUUUAGCCAUACACUAAAUGAGUACAUGCAUACAGUGGCAAAAGACUGAGUGCUACCAAUUUCUGUAGCUGAAAACUACCAGAAUAGUCCUACAGCAUCCGUUUCUGCAGACAUUUCCAGCUGACCAAGUGUUUACAGUAAGUUGGAGAAAUAACGUGCUUACAUAAGAUGCACCAAUAUGGAAUAGGUUGAGGGAUGUGUUAUCAUGUAAUUGCUGCUUACCAAAUCAAGCAAAAUCUAUUCCCUAAAAUAUGCAGAUCAGAAAAGUAUUGUCUUUUAAUGUACGCCUCAAAGAUAAAAUUGGCACCUCCAGACCAAGAUUAGGUUUCCUUCCUUCACUGAAACCAUACAUUCUCAGAAAUUCAAUACACAAAUACAGCUUGUGUCUAUGACUAUGAGAGCUAUCUAACUCUCUGGCAACAAUGCAUGGAAAAAUCUCUAAAAGAAAUCUAUAACAAAACUUUUGUGACACCAGAGGGCAGGGUAACUAUUUAAUGGAAGUAAGCAAUAUUAUAGCAGUGCAAUAAAGCCAAGGAAAGAAGUGGAUUUUCUGAGGUGUUGGUUUGAAGAAAAAGGUAACUUUUCAAAUAUCCACGAUCCUUCAGUAGAGUUCACUAGAAGUUCUUUAAUGUGAUACUUAAAAAGAAAAUUCCAGAACACUGCAAAGUUUGGAAAGACUGACCCUUCUCUGACCUAGUUUUAAUAAGCCAUGCAUUUCUAAGGACUUUGACUCUGCAAAACCUUACCACUACUGCACCAAUUGCUAUAGUUAGUUCUACUAAUCUGAAUGCAAAUGCUGCCUGUCCAGGCUACACGUACUUACGCUUGGUUCAAAUGUACCAUACCCAAACUUUCAGAAAGUCAUCACAUUUUAAGUUUAAGUGGUGCACUGAAAACUCUCUCAAACUCCUAUUCAGUAAAACUUUAUCAUGGCAAAAAAAAGAUUGUUCUAUGAAUUCAGCCCAGGGCAUUUGCCUUUGACAAAGUUUCUGUGAGUUUCCUGAAAAUAAACUUCAGAGGGCACUGUAUCCUAUAAAGAACAGGAAACUAAUGUGGUUGGUAUGUCUAGGUGCUACUGUUAUUUAAUAAAACAAGUUUGAAUAGCAGUGCAGAUGUGUCAGAUGACCGAUUGUUAUCAAUACAAAUCUUAAAGUUUCUAUGCUCUCCAGAUGGCUCCAUGUGACAAUAGCUUGCCCUUCACAUUUUGCAUUCCUAAAGCAUGUCAGUUCUUUCUCUGCUCUCUUCUGUCCAGUAGGAGGUUUAGAUUUUGAGAUAAGUUAUCUACCAUACAAUUAUUUGCUAAUGUAAAGUGAUCUUCACCCUAUUUGCUUUUUCCUCUGUUCACUUCUGCUUUUGUUCUAUAGCUUGAUGAAUUAGUUCUUCUAUAAUUGCAUAUUUUCUGUUAUUUACUCUAACAACUAAUAAUUAUUCUAUCAUUUUCCAUCUCCCUUCCUCAUCUACUUCUGUUAAUGCCUCUUUCUCAUACAAUUCUCUCUUCACCAUUUAGAAUUUGUUUUCCUUCUAAACCUUAACUGAUGACUCCCAUUGCCUUUUCUGACCACAUUACACAUACGUUGACUAAAGGAUCACUCAAAAAUCUUAUCUCUACAGCCCUUAAGCUCCAAACAGCUUAAAAAAGCUUUAAGAUAAAGUGGUAGAAAGACAGAAAGAUCAGAAAUUCACAAUUCCACAUUUGCAAAACAGUUCUGCUUUAGAUUCCUCCCCUCCUCCCCCUCCCACCCCAAGAGAUGCUGCUUUAUUACCAUCAUUGACCAAGAUAAAGGAGAAUAAUAAACCUAGAUGGAUGACUUCACUGGCAAUAUCUGUGAUGUUUUAGUACUUUCAGAAACUUUUGGAAUUCCAGUUUUCAAGUCAGUUCAUAUGGGGAAUGAGUUUUAUAGUCUUUAGAAUUUGUUCUCUGACUCAGUAAAGGCAACAAAGAAGAUUAAAAGCAAGCCUAGAAUGAUAAGGCAAGAGAUAAAAAAGGUUCUUUUACCUUACAUCAUCUGUAAGUUCGUCAAUCAGCUUCAGCCACAUCUCAGCUAAUCUGUUUUCAGAAAUUUUAGCCUGCAUUCCUGAUUUUAAGUUGGUUAAGUUGGAUUGCUGAGGAAUUUAAAAGAAAAGGAUUUGCUCUUAGAAAUUUGAAUUGCAGUAUUAUAGUCAAUAUAACUUUCAAGACUUUAUUUUCAUCUUAUUUUAAAGCCCAAAUAAAAAAAAUAAAGACUAAGAUAUUCAAACUUGAUUCCAAUGUAACAUGACUUUUCAUAUGUUCUUUCACAUUAUAUUUAUUACUACUUCACAUUGCACCUAACUUCAGAGCAAAUACAGUACUACAAACUCAACACUCCCAAAUGAAGAGGACCCUUCCAUCCUGUAGGAAUUCCCUGCAGAUUCAAGCAGCAUUGGGCCAUACCAGAAUACACAUCUAUGAUUAUCAGUGCCAUUUUUCACACUGUUCUACAUUUAACUUUGAACAGGAAAGGAGAACAAAAAUUAUGUUCCAUAAUUUGCUCAAAAUGACACUUUUCAUUACACAUCCAAGAAAAGAGACAGACCAACAAAAAAGAAAGCUCUUAAGUAACUUACCAGUCUUUCAACCAUGUUCAGGAUUACAUUCACAGGGUCUAAUCUAUGACUUAUGUCCUCCCAAAAAGAAGUCAGUGUUACCACUGGCUUUGUGUUUGCCCAUGGCAGAUAGUAAUAAUAAUUA